AAAACCCUGCUGUGUUCGUGCAACGCCGAGAUUGUUUUGAGCCAACACCAAAACAAUAGGGGCUUAUCUCUGUAAACGGCUGGUAGGCCUCCUUGAGAGGACAUCAAAAGCUUGCAGGAGAGCACCGACCUGCUGAGAGCAGGUUCAAAAACAUCGGCCCCACGGCACCGGUGGGGUUUUA
This 181-nucleotide non-coding RNA is filed under the name Syntrophomonadaceae bacterium. Its description in RNAcentral is "6S RNA". It matches the Rfam family "6S / SsrS RNA". From Rfam's summary of the family: E. coli 6S RNA was the first non coding RNA to be sequenced, but its function was unknown until recently. It consists of 184 nucleotides that fold into an extended hairpin structure with a large single-stranded internal bulge. Lineage: Bacteria; Bacillati; Bacillota; Clostridia; Eubacteriales; Syntrophomonadaceae. The record is from RNAcentral.